Molecule: long non-coding RNA, 157 nt
Organism: Calliphora vicina (urban bluebottle blowfly)
Lineage: Eukaryota; Metazoa; Arthropoda; Insecta; Diptera; Calliphoridae
Exons: 3
Source: RefSeq, a predicted model, not a curated record
AAUUAACCUGAGCAUUAGGGUGGUUCCGGAUUUUAAGAUUUUUAAAAUUCAAGCGGACCUGUGACAAGUCCUUGGGCAAUCGAUUCCAUUUAAGUUUGGUUGGAAAUUCAUUUGGUGCCUGGGAUGGGGAUUAAAAAUGAAAUCUUCAAAAAAAAAA